This is a non-coding RNA of Staphylococcus sp. NAM3COL9, 113 nucleotides long. NCBI's taxonomy places the organism in Bacteria, Bacillati, Bacillota, Bacilli, Caryophanales, Staphylococcaceae. The record is from Rfam.
CUCUUAUCCUGAGUGGCGGAGGGACAUGGACCCAAUGAAGCCCAGCAACCUCUUCUUAAUACGAAGAAAGGUGCCAAACCGUUUGCAGACAUAUAUCGUCUGAACGAUAAGAG